AUUGAACGCUGGCGGCAUGCCUUACACAUGCAAGUCGAACGGUAACGGGCCUUCGGGUGCCGACGAGUGGCGAACGGGUGAGUAAUGUAUCGGAACGUACCUUUCAGUGGGGGAUAACGUAGCGAAAGUUACGCUUAAUACCGCAUAUUCUGUGAGCAGGAAAGCAGGGGAUCGCAAGACCUUGCGCUGAUUGAGCGGCCGAUAUCAGAUUAGCUAGUUGGUGAGGUAAAGGCUCACCAAGGCGACGAUCUGUAGCGGGUCUGAGAGGAUGAUCCGCCACACUGGAACUGAGACACGGUCCAGACUCCUACGGGAGGCAGCAGUGGGGAAUUUUGGACAAUGGGGGCAACCCUGAUCCAGCCAUGCCGCGUGAGUGAAGAAGGCCUUCGGGUUGUAAAGCUCUUUCGGCCGGGAAGAAAUCGUAUGGGUUAAUACCCUGUGCGGAUGACGGUACCGGCAUAAGAAGCACCGGCUAACUACGUG
This 483-nucleotide ribosomal RNA is filed under the name uncultured bacterium. Its description in RNAcentral is "bacterial SSU rRNA". It matches the Rfam family "Bacterial small subunit ribosomal RNA", at positions 30 to 507 of the family's 1533-position model. The record is from RNAcentral.